Phrynosoma platyrhinos (Desert horned lizard) is the source of this 72-nucleotide non-coding RNA. The record is from the annotation of a GenBank genome assembly. NCBI's taxonomy places the organism in Eukaryota, Metazoa, Chordata, Lepidosauria, Squamata, Phrynosomatidae.
GCAAAUGUGGCAUAGUGGUUUGAGCGCUGGGUUAUGACUCUGGAGGCCAGGGUUUGAUUCCCUGCUCAGCCA